This 468-nucleotide ribosomal RNA is filed under the name uncultured bacterium. Its description in RNAcentral is "partial 16S ribosomal RNA". It matches the Rfam family "Bacterial small subunit ribosomal RNA", at positions 28 to 507 of the family's 1533-position model. The record is from RNAcentral.
GACGAACGCUGGCGGCGUGCUUAACACAUGCAAGUCGAACGGAAAGGCCCUGCUUUUGUGGGGUGCUCGAGUGGCGAACGUGUGAGUAACACGUGAGUAACCUGCCCUUGACUUUGGGAUAACUUCACGAAACUGGGGCUAAUACCGGAUAGGAGCUCCUGCUGCAUGGUGGGGGUUGGAACGUUUCGGCGGUUGGGGAUGGACUCGCGGCUUAUCAGCUUGUUGGUGGGGUAGUGGCUUACCAAGGCUUUGACGGGUAGCCGGCCUGAGAGGGUGACCGGCCACAUGGGGACUGAGAGACGGCGCAGACUCCUACGGGGGGCAGCAGUGGAGAAUAUUGCACAAUGGGCGGGAGCCUGAUGAAGCAACGCCGGGUGCGGGAUGACGGCCUUCGGGUUGUAAACCGCUUUCGCCUGUGACGAAGCGUGAGUGACGGUAAUGGGUAAAGAAGCACCGGCUAACUACGUG